UUUUGUGGCCAUACCAACUUGUCAAAACCUGAUCUUGUCAGAUCUCAGAAGCUAAGCCAGAUCGGGCCUGGUUACUACUUGGAUAGGAGACCACUAGGAACACCAGGUGACACAGUGG
This 118-nucleotide ribosomal RNA is filed under the name Periophthalmus magnuspinnatus. Lineage: Eukaryota; Metazoa; Chordata; Actinopteri; Gobiiformes; Gobiidae. The record is from RNAcentral.